RNAcentral lists this ribosomal RNA (468 nucleotides) under uncultured bacterium. RNAcentral describes it as "partial 16S ribosomal RNA". It matches the Rfam family "Bacterial small subunit ribosomal RNA", at positions 28 to 507 of the family's 1533-position model. The record is from RNAcentral.
GACGAACGCUGGCGGCGUGCUUAACACAUGCAAGUCGAACGGAAAGGCCCUGCUUUUGUGGGGUGCUCGAGUGGCGAACGGGUGAGUAACACGUGAGUAACCUGCCCUUGACUUUGGGAUAACUUCAGGAAACUGGGGCUAAUACCGGAUAGGAGCUCCUGCUGCAUGGUGGGGGAUGGAAAGUUUCGGCGGUUGGGGCUGGACUCGCGGGUUAUCAGCUUGUUGGUGGGGUAGUGGCUUACCAAGGCUUUGACGGGUAGCCGGCCUGAGAGGGUGACCGGCCACAUUGGGACUGAGAGACGGCCCAGACGCCUACGGGAGGCAGCAGUGGGGAAUAUUGCACAAUGGGCGGAAGCCUGAUGCAGCAACGCCGCGUGCGGGAUGACGGCCUUCGGGUUGUAAACCGCUUUCGCCUGUGACGAAGCGUGAGUGACGGUAAUGGGUAAAGAAGCACCGGCUAACUACGUG